Molecule: non-coding RNA, 148 nt
Filed under: Chlorocebus sabaeus (green monkey)
Lineage: Eukaryota; Metazoa; Chordata; Mammalia; Primates; Cercopithecidae
Source: Rfam by way of RNAcentral
GCCAGGCAUCGUGACGUGUGCCUGUAUUCCCAGCUACUUGGGAGGCUGAGGCAGGAGAAUUGCUUGAACCCAGGAAGUUGAGGUUGCAGUGAGCCUAGAUCAUGCCACUGCACUCCAGCCUGGGUGACAGAGCAAGACUCUGUUUCAA